Molecule: ribosomal RNA, 142 nt
Filed under: uncultured bacterium
Lineage: Bacteria
Description: partial 16S ribosomal RNA
Rfam family: Bacterial small subunit ribosomal RNA
Source: RNAcentral
UGGGGGAAUAUUGGGCAAUGGGGGGCAACCCUGACCCAGCAACGCCGCGUGAAGGAAGAAGGCUUUCGGGUUGUAAACUUCUUUGACCAGGGACGAAAGAAAUGACGGUACCUGGAAAACAAGCCACGGCUAACUACGUGCC